This 72-nucleotide transfer RNA is filed under the name Camelus bactrianus (Bactrian camel). It matches the Rfam family "tRNA". Rfam says of the family: Transfer RNA (tRNA) molecules are approximately 80 nucleotides in length. Their secondary structure includes four short double-helical elements and three loops (D, anti-codon, and T loops). The record is from Rfam by way of RNAcentral. Lineage: Eukaryota; Metazoa; Chordata; Mammalia; Artiodactyla; Camelidae. RNAcentral also lists the same sequence under 2 other names.
GAGGGUAUAGUUUAGUGGUAGUGUGUCUGUUUAGUAUGCACAAGGUCCUGGGUUCAAUUCCCAGUACCUCCU